This 230-nucleotide ribosomal RNA is filed under the name uncultured bacterium. RNAcentral describes it as "partial 16S ribosomal RNA". It matches the Rfam family "Bacterial small subunit ribosomal RNA", at positions 568 to 796 of the family's 1533-position model. The record is from RNAcentral.
CUCGUAGGCGGUUUGGUAAGUCGGGUGUGAAAACUCUGGGCUCAACCCAGAGAGGCCACUCGAUACUGCUAUGACUAGAGUACGGUAGGGGAGCGGGGAAUUCAUGGUGUAGCGGUGAAAUGCGCAGAUAUCAUGAGGAACACCAGCGGCGAAGGCGCCGCUCUGGGCCGUAACUGACGCUGAGGAGCGAAAGCAUGGGUAGCAAACAGGAUUAGAUACCCUGGUAGUCC